CCCUUCGAGGAGGUGCCGGCAGAGCACUCCCAGAAGCACCUAGAGAAGCUGUAAACGAGUCGGCUUAAUGAACUCAGGCGGCUCCUCCCAUCACGCAGGUUUCAGAAGGGCUUCAGCGCCUGGGAGCCACCAGGCUGCUCAUGCACCGCCGGCACCAGACUCUGCUUGGAAGCUGUGCCUGUGCCACUGCAACCCCCACUGCACUCGGAGGUGAAGAGCAGUGACAAAAUGCACUGAGACAGACGUGGGGCCUGGCCACCAGCGUGAGCGCAGAGGGCAGGACCAGGACCCUCCUUCCCCAUCAAACUCAGCAGCUUCCCAGUUCCGCAGGGCACCGUGCCAUCAGGACCUCCAGGGAGGUUUCUGUAGAGGAAAGUGUAUUUUUGUGCCUGGAUGUUCAAGCCGAGCAUCUCUUGAGGAGGAGCAGAGUCUACUAUUUUUAUUUAUUGACUUUUAAAGGAGAGUUAAGAACAAUUUAUCAAAAAGCAGUGGAGAAUCUGGUAAUUGUUUAAUUUCACAACAGCAGGGUUA
Molecule: long non-coding RNA, 531 nt
Organism: Oxyura jamaicensis (ruddy duck)
Lineage: Eukaryota; Metazoa; Chordata; Aves; Anseriformes; Anatidae
Exons: 3
Source: RefSeq, a predicted model, not a curated record